This 60-nucleotide small nuclear RNA is filed under the name Spermophilus dauricus (Daurian ground squirrel). Lineage: Eukaryota; Metazoa; Chordata; Mammalia; Rodentia; Sciuridae. The record is from RNAcentral.
CUGCUCACUUUUGCAGCACCUAUACUAAAAUUGGAAUGAUACAGAUAAGAUUAGCAUGAC